AACCUGGUUGAUCCUGCCAGUAGUCAUAUGCUUGUCUUAAAGACUAAGCCAUGCAUGUCUAAGUAUAAAUAGUAUACAGUGAAACUGCGAAUGGCUCAUUAAAUCAGUUAUAAUUUACUUGAUAAUUAAAUUCUACAAGGAUAACCGUAGUAAUUCUAGAGCUAAUACUUGCUGUUAACCUGACUUUUCGGAAGGGUUGUAUUUAUUAGAUAGCAAACCAUCAGCCCGCAAGGGUUGCUGUGAUGAUUCAUAAUAACUGAUCGGAGCGAGGCCCGGCCUUGCUAAAUCAUUCAAGUUUCUGCCCUAUCACUUUGAUGGUAGUGUAUCUGACUACCAUGAGGAUUACGGGUACGCGGAAUUAGGGUUUGAUUUGCGGAGAGGGAGCCUGAGAAACGGCUACCACUUCUAAGGAAGGCAGCAGGCGCGCAAAUUACCCAAUCCCAAUUCGGGGAGGUAGUGACAAGAAAUAAUAACCCGGGGUCUCAUGAUUUACGGGAUUAAAAUGAGAACAAUUUAAAUCACUUAACGAGGAACAAUUGGAGGGCAAGUUCUGGUGCCAGCAGCCGCGGUAAUUCCAGCUCCAAUAGCGUAUAUUAAAGUUGUUGCAGUUAAAAAGCUCGUAGUCGAUCUUCUAAGAGCGGUGGUCGGGAUCUCCAUCCCGGUUUGCUUGCUCUUAUCUGACUGAGACCACUAUUCGUGCUUAACUGUUGCGAAAGUGUAAUCAGUCACUUUACUGAGAAAAAAUUAGAGUGUUCAAAGCAAGCACUGCGCCUUGAAUACACAAGCUUGGAAUAAUAGAAUAUGACUAAAGUCUCUUUGUUGGUUUUAAGACUUUGGUAAUGGUUAAAAGAAACAGUUGGGGGCAUUAGUAUCUAAUUGUCAAAGGGGAAAUUCUUGGAUUUAUUAAAGACUAACCUAUGCGAAAGCAUUUGCCAAGGAUGUUUUCAAUUGAUCAAGAACGAAAGGUAGGGGACCAAAGACGAUCAGAUACCGCCCUAGUCUUAACUAUAAACGAUUCCACUUUUGGGAGGGGGUACCUUUAUAACUCUCUCAGCACAUUAUGAGAAAUCAUAAGUCUUUGGGUUCCGGGGGAAGUAUGGACACAAGUCUGAAACUUAAAGGAAUUGACGGAAGGGCACACAAGGAGUGGAGCCUGCGGCUUAAGUUUGACUCAAACACGGGGAAACUUACCAGGGCAAGACAUAGGUGGGAUUGACAGAAAUGAGAGCUCUUUCUUGAUUCUAUGGGUGGUGGUGCAUGGCCGUUCUUAGUUGGUGGAGUGAUUUGUCUGGUUAAUUCCGUUGACGAACGAGACCUUACCCUGCUAAAUAGGAGCCUGAUUCUCAAUCGGGUGUCCUUCUUAGAGGGACUAUGUGCGCAAGCACAUGGAAGUUUGAGGCAAUAACAGGUCUGUGAUGCCCCUAGAUGUCCUGGGCCGCACGUGCGCUACAAUGCCACAAGCAACAAGUUAUUCCUGCUCCGACAGGAGUUCGGGUAAUCUUUAUAGUUUGUGGCGUGACCGGGAUUGUCCUUUGCAAUUAUAGGACAUGAACUAGGAAUUCCUAGUAUAGGUAUGUCAUCAGCAUGCCUAGAUUAAGUCCCUGCCCUUUGUACACACCGCCGGUCGCUCCUACCGAUUGAGAGAUUCAGUGAACCUUCUGGAGUUUGGGUCGACUUUUAGUCUUCUCUGCGAAGUUAAGUAAACUAUUAUCUCUUAGAGGAAGGAGAAGUCGUAACAAGGUUUCCGUAGGUGAACCUGCAGAAGGAUCAA
Molecule: ribosomal RNA, 1771 nt
Filed under: uncultured marine eukaryote
Lineage: Eukaryota
Description: SSU rRNA
Rfam family: Eukaryotic small subunit ribosomal RNA
Source: RNAcentral